UACGUAGGGGGCAAGCGUUAUCCGGAUUUACUGGGUGUAAAGGGAGCGUAGACGGCAGGGCAAGUCCGAUGUGAAAACCCGGGGCUCAACCGCGGGAUUGCAUUGGAAACUGCUCAGCUCGAGUACUGGAGGGGUAAGCGGAAUUCCUAGUGUAGCGGUGAAAUGCGUAGAUAUUAGGAGGAACACGGGCGGCGAAGGCGGCUUACUGGACAGUAACUGACGUUGAGGCUCGAAAGCGUGGGGAGCAAACAGGAUUAGAUACCCCGGUAGUCCCUGAGCGGGCUGGCAA
RNAcentral lists this ribosomal RNA (289 nucleotides) under uncultured prokaryote. Its description in RNAcentral is "partial 16S ribosomal RNA". It matches the Rfam family "Bacterial small subunit ribosomal RNA", at positions 524 to 815 of the family's 1533-position model. The record is from RNAcentral.